AUACGUAGGGGGCGAGCGUUGUCCGGAAUGAUUGGGCGUAAAGGGCGCGUAGGCGGCCCGGUAAGUCUGGAGUGAAAGUCCUGUUUUUAAGAUGGGAAUUGCUUUGGAUACUGUCGGGCUUGAGUGCAGGAAAGGUAAGUGGAAUUCCCAGUGCAGCGGUGAAAUGCGUAGAGAUUGGGAGGAACACCAGUGGCGAAGGCGACUUACUGGACUGUAACUGACGCUGAGGCGCGAAAGUGUGGGGAGCAAACAGGAUUAGAUACCCUGGUAGUCCACACUGUAAACGAUGAAUGCUAGGUGUAGGGGGUAUCGACCCCUUCUGUGCCGCAGUCAACACAAUAAGCAUUCCGCCUGGGGAGUACGGCCGCAAGGUUGAAACUCAAAUGAAUUGGCGGGG
RNAcentral lists this ribosomal RNA (397 nucleotides) under uncultured bacterium. RNAcentral's name for it is "partial 16S ribosomal RNA". It matches the Rfam family "Bacterial small subunit ribosomal RNA", at positions 523 to 918 of the family's 1533-position model. The record is from RNAcentral.